ACGGGAGGCAGCAGUGAGGAAUAUUGGUCAAUGGGCGGAAGCCUGAACCAGCCAAGUCGCGUGAAGGAUGAAGGUAUUAUGUAUUGUAAACUUCUUUAGACGCAGAGAAAUAAGGGGCUCGAGAGCCCUGAUGCUAGUAUGCGUAGAAUAAGCAUCGGCUAACUCCGUGCCAGCAGCCGCGGUAAUACGGAGGAUGCGAGCGUUAUCCGGAUUUAUUGGGUUUAAAGGGUGCGUAGGCGGAUGAUUAAGUCUGUGGUGAAAGCGUGCGGCUCAACCGUACCGAGCCAUGGAAACUGGUUGUCUUGAGUGUAAACGAGGUAGGCGGAAUGUGACAUGUAGCGGUGAAAUGCUUAGAUAUGUCACAGAACUCCGAUUGCGAAGGCAGCUUACCAGCAUACAACUGACGCUGAGGCACGAAAGCGUGGGUAUCAAACAGGAUUAGAUACCCUGGUA
RNAcentral lists this ribosomal RNA (453 nucleotides) under uncultured Porphyromonadaceae bacterium. RNAcentral describes it as "bacterial SSU rRNA". It matches the Rfam family "Bacterial small subunit ribosomal RNA", at positions 341 to 792 of the family's 1533-position model. Lineage: Bacteria; Pseudomonadati; Bacteroidota; Bacteroidia; Bacteroidales; Porphyromonadaceae. The record is from RNAcentral.